This 307-nucleotide ribosomal RNA is filed under the name uncultured Methanosaeta sp. Its description in RNAcentral is "bacterial SSU rRNA". It matches the Rfam family "Archaeal small subunit ribosomal RNA", at positions 1034 to 1338 of the family's 1478-position model. Lineage: Archaea; Methanobacteriati; Methanobacteriota; Methanomicrobia; Methanotrichales; Methanotrichaceae. The record is from RNAcentral.
UCAGGCAACGAGCGAGACCCACGCCCACAGUUGCCAGCGUACUCUCCGGAGUGACGGGUACACUGUGGGGGACCGCCGCUGCUAAAGCGGAGGAAGGAAUGGGCAACGGUAGGUCAGUAUGCCCCCGAAUAUCCCGGGCUACACGCGAGCUACAAUGGUUGGUACAAUGGGUAUCUACCCCGAAAGGGGACGGAAAUCUCCUAAAACCAAUCUUAGUUCGGAUUGAGGGCUGCAACUCGCCCUCAUGAAGCUGGAAUCCGUAGUAAUCGCGUUUCAACAGAACGCGGUGAAUACGUUCCCGGGCCUU